GAAGGAAAAAAAUAAACCUUAUAACAAGGCAGAACUUUGGAAAUGCAUCCCCUGGAGACAUAUAAUAGAGCUGUGAAUUUAGUGGAGGUGGUGGAUAGGCAAUGCUGGGUGACUAAGGACUGUUAACAUAAUUAAAAGGAUGGGGGAUUUCUGUAGCUGAAGAUAAAAACCCUGAAAUAUAUUAUGAUAUAGUCAAAUGAAUGUCUUUUCUUUAUGCACCUAUUUCUCAAGAGCUGAUAAUACAAAGGAAAAAUUUAGUGCAUAAAGUUCAAAGUUUCCAUUUGUAUACUAAUCUAUCAAAUAUUUUACAGCAAUUAGACUAGAGAGCCACCAAAACAGAAUAGAUCUGCAGAGCUCCCACUUUGCAAUAGCUGCGCGGAAAUCUUGAUACUUUCCCAGGGUGUAACCAAAGUCAGAGUCUAUGUGAUACUGCAUGAAACAACCAGGGAAGAUUUUCUUUUUUUAAAAUUUGAACUAUAGAUAGAUAGAUACAUAGAUACAUAGAUACAUAGAUAGAUCUUUUUGAGUUUUUUUUCUAAAAUUCUAUUCAGAAUAUGAGUUUUAACUAGAUUUGUCAUUAUAAAAUGAAAUGAAACCAAAAUCACCAGCCAACAUCAAUAGUAGCAUUGUUUUCACAGAGCAUGUACAUUUGUAUAAAGUUACUUUAUGUGGAGUCAUUUGGAUAUUUAAAUUGGAACUUUUAGUAUUUUCAGAAUUUUUUAGAGAUUUUGAUGAAUAAAUUCCUCAGAAACAAAGGUUUUUAUUAACAAACUACUGUUAAAGAAUUUAUACAUUAUAAAAUAUUGCUGAACAUACUGACAGAUUUGAGUUUUUCUUUAACAGAAUUGACAUUUUAUCAAAAUAAUAAAAUUUUUGAAGUUUAUUUUCUAUGCCCUCAACCUUCUCUUUCUGAACUCUUUUCUCCUCUGGGAUACAAAAAUUUUCCUAAUUUCAGACAUCUGGGAAAGCUAUCAGUUCUCUUGUCCCUUCCCGCUCAUAUAGAUUUAUAAUUGCUAUAUGAUUAUUUCCAAAGUUGCAUUUGACCAAUGACAUAUGUUAUAAAUUAAAUGCUCUUAAGAUAAUGUGCCAGUUAAACUUUUCAUAUAUAAUUACUGAGUGAGGAUAUUUGUUCAUUGACCCUUAAAGUCUCAAACACUAGUAAGCUCUCUGGAUUGACUGAUUUGGGUCCAGAUGAAAAUGCUGAAGUUCUAUAUUUCAAGGGGCUCAUAGUACUAAAAGUGUCUGUUUCCUCAGUCAGCAGUUUCAUCCAGGAUCUGGUUCUCUACUGGGCCCCCCCAUUCCAAAUGCACAGAUUUUGAGCCCCAGCGCUGGAAACUGACUCCAUGGGUUUGGACCUAAGCUAUAUUAUAGUAAGAAAUUAGCUUUACGUCCAUUCUCUUUUUCUUCAUUUGUGAAGUAUCACCAGAGAUGUAUAUAGAUAGGGGCCAGGUAGUUAAUGUGUAAUAAUAGAGAAAAGGCAGACUAGGUGAGUGCAGACAUAGUAAAGUGGAUAUAAAUAGUUUUAGGAGUUAUGAAAGUUCUCUUGUGGUUGAUUCCAUUGUUCUCAGAGAAGUAGCAACCAAAAAGAGACUGAUUUCUGGGGAAGUGUUGGAGAUCUAUAAAAUGGGAGAAGAUGCAAAACUGCUAUCUAGACAAAUUAGCAGGUGAAUGGACUGGGACAUAUGCAGCACUGAUUGAUUAAUAGGCAGUGUUAAGAUUUGCAGUACAAAUUUGCAGUGGGAGAAGACUGUAUGUUUUGUGAUUUGUUUCAUAUAUCCAGUUGCUCAGGAAUAAAUGAUGAUUAAAUGGAAAUUUGGACCUAGCCAGGAUUAUUUUCUAAGCUGAUUCAACAAAGUGAAAAGGAAAUGAGGACGUUGAAGCUACAUGCAAGGGAAUGAUUGACCAUGGAAUUUAGGCAGGAAACAGGCUAAGAGAGGACCUCGAAAGAAUAUGGUUCAAUGUUAACAUGAUAAGAAAAUAAUAGAGGCCCCAGAUUGACUAAAAGGUUUUAAAGUCAGAGUAUGGGAGGAAAUGAUGAAAGGAGAUCAGAGAAUGGGGUACAUGAAAUUAUGGGCCCAGAGGAGUUGCUGUUCUAAAUAAUGACAAGAUCUUGGCCAUUCAGGAAGUGUGGUCUGUAGACCAGCAGCAACAGCACCACCUAGAAAAUCGCUAGAAUUGCAUAGUCUCAGGCUCUACCCCAGAUUUACUGACUCAGAAACUCCAAGGACACAUCCCAGUAAUCUUUAUUUUUACACAACUUGAGACAAUUAUGAUGUACACAGUAAUUAGGUCUAGGAUGUAUCCCGUAGAGAAGAGUGAACAGGUAGGGUAGUGUGAUAAUGUGAUAGAAGAAAUAUAUAUCUGGUCUUUGCCCCAGACCUUGGCACAGAGCUCCUAAAACCACUUAAUUGCAAGCGCGAUAAACGUCUUUUGUUAUUCAUAAUAGCUCCCUUUUAACUGAAUCUGAGUUUAUGCUCAUGAGAUGACUAGGGUGGCUGGGGGCCCCUAGAUAGUCUCAGGGUGGUUGCCGUUCACCAGAAAGACCUAGACAGGAUUAAAGGUUGGAAUUUUCAUUCCUGCUUUCUGGGGAUGGCAGAAGGGCUGCAGAUGAAAUCAUUAGCCAUUGGCAAUUAACCCAAUCAAUUACACCUACGUAGUAAAAAUGAUAAAACCUCUGGGCAAAAGAAAAAUGAGAAUUUGGGGAGCUUCUGGGUUGGUGAACACAACCAGGCGCUGGUAGGGUGACACAACCAGCCUGGGUGCUGGGUAUUAUCAAACCUACACCAGAAGCUGUAGGAACUCUGAUUUAUAAUUGGUGGGUGGUGGGUCACAAGUACUGGAGGCCCAAACUUGUGACUGGUAUCUGGUGAGAUUGUCCUUAACUUGUGGAAUAGGACACUGAUGGAAACAGUUUCAAAACUGAAUUGAAUUGUAAGACACCCAGUUGAUAUAUAAAGAGUGGAGAUCUGGUUAGUGUUGUAGGGGCCCAGGGCAGACUGCCCCCAAAUGUACCACAAUGGCAUAUAGAUUAUUUUGAAUUGAAGCUACUUGGGAAGGAACCCAGACAAGGACACUCAGACCCUCACCAUCUGCUAGAAAGUGGGAAACAAAUCUCCCAUAUGAAAAUACCACCUUACAUGUACUAAGUGAAAAGACACCUUUAGCACCAAAGUGACAUUAAAGUUAAUUAGGCUAUAGAAUUGAACCUUGUGACUUUUUUACUAAUCUACUACCUCAGCCCAAAUUCCACUUAGAACUCCUUACUAAUUGAAGUUCCCAAACAUCUGUUUUCCUUAUCGUGUAAAUUCCUCACAAACUUAUUAUUCCUGUCUAAAAUGUAUAAAAACUGAUUCUUUUGACAGUUUUUGCUGCAUCCCAAAGGUUUUGGACCAUUGUGCUUUGAUUUUCAUUUGUUUCCAUGUAUUGUUUUAUUUCUUCUUUGAUUUCCUGGUAAACCCAUUCAUUGUUUAGUAGCAUGUUGCUUAACCUCCAUAUAUUUGUGGUCUUUCCAGGUUUUUUCUUGUGGUUGAUUUCUAGUUUCAUAGCAUUGUGGUCAGAAAAGAUUCAUGAUAUGACUUUAAUUUUUUUGUAUUUGUUGGGGCCAGUUUUGUGACCUAAUAUGUGAUCUAUUCUGGAGAAUAUUCUAUGUGCACUUGGAAUUUAGGAUGGAAUGUUCUGAAUAUAAAUGUCCAUCUGGUCCAAUGUGUCAUUCAAAGCCAUUGUUUCUUUGUUUAUCUUCUGUUUAGAUGAUCUGUCCAUUGAUGUCAAUUAAUCUUCAACAAUGCAAGGAAGAAUGUCCAAUAGAAAAAAGACAGUCUCUAAAACAAAUGACAUUGGAAAAACUGGACAGCAACAUACAUAAGGAUAAAACUGCACCACUUUCUUACAUCAUACACAAAAACAAAUUCAAAAUGAAUUAAAGACCUAAAUGUGAGACCUAAACCUAUAAAAAUCCUAGAAGAAAACACAGGCAGUACCUUCUUUGAAAUCAGCCAUAUCAACUUCUUUCUAGAUAUGUCUCCAGAAACAAGGGAAUCAAAAGUAAAAAUAAACUAUUGAGACUACAUCAAAAUAAAAAGCUUCUGCACAGUGAAGGAAACAACCAACAAAACUAAAAGGUGACCUAUGAAAUGGGAGAAGAUAUUUGCAAAUGACAUAUCUGAUAAAGGGUUUGUAAACAAAAUCUAUAAAGAAUUUAUAAAACUCAAAACUCAAAAAAAAUCUGAUUAAAAAAUAAGCAGAAGACAUGAAUAGACAUUUUUCCAAAGAUGAGGGACAGAUGGCCAGAACAGACACAUGAAAAGAUGUUCAAUACCACUGAUCAUCAGGGAAAUGCAAAUCAAAACUACAAUGAGGUAUCACUUUAAAUCUGUCAGAAUGGCUAAAACCAACAGCCCAAGAAACAACAGGUGUUGGUGAGGAUGUGGAGAAAGGGGAAUCCUCCUGACUGUUGGUGGGAAUGCAAACUGCUGCAGCCACUCUGGAAAACAGUAUGGCAUUUCUUCAAAAGGUUAAAAACAGAACCACCCUACGAUCCAUCAAUUGCAGUACUAGGUAUUUACCCAAAUAAUACAAAACUACUAAUUCAAAGGGAUACAUCGUCCAUCCCAAUAUUUAUGGCAGCCUCAUCUAUAAUAGCCAAAUUUUGGAAACAACACAAGUGUCCAUCAACUGAUGAAUUGAUAAAGAAGAGGUAUAUAUAUAGUAUACUAUAUAGGGUAUAGUAUAGUAUAGUAUAGUAUAGUAUAGUAUAGUAUAGGUAUAGUAUAGGUAUAUAUAUAUAUAGUAUACUAUAUACAGUAUAUAUAUAUAUAUAUAUACACACACACACUAUAUAUAUAUACAAUAUGUAUAUAAAAGAAUAUUACUCAGCCAUAAAAAAAGAAUGAAAUCUUUCCAUUUGCAAUGACAUAGAUGGAGCUAGAGUGUAUUAUCCUAAGCAAAGUCAGUCAGUCAAAGAAAGACAAAUACCAUAUGAUUUCAUUCAUAUGUGGAGUUUAAGUAACAAAAGAAACAAGUAUAGUGAGGAAACAAAGAGGAAAACCAAGAAAGAGACUCUAAACUAUAGAGAAUAAACUGAUGGUUACCAGAAGGGAAUGGGUGGGGGCAUGGAUUAAAUAGGUGAUGGGGAUUAAGGAGGCAUUUGCGAUGAGCAUCAGGUGUUGUAUGGAAGUGUGGAAUCCCUAUAUUGUACACCUAAAACUAAUAUUACAAUAUAUGUUAACUAACUUGGGAAUUUAAAUAAAAACCUAAAAAUAAACAAACAAACUGAAAAGUUACUAAUUUAAGUCAUGCCCAUUUCAGAUCUCUCCAGAAAUGGAAAUUGGAAAACAGUAGGAAGAAGCUUUGACAGAAAAUCUGUCUUUAUUCUCAGGAGGAAGUACAGGCAACUAUACUACACAAAAGUUUAGAAGAACUUUUAUAAUUAUUUGCUGUCAUAUUUUAUAAACAGAACUGCCUGGAAUUCUCUGUUAAACUAGAAUCUUCUGUUAAACAUCAUUUUCAUACUAUUUAGACAAGAUCUUUGUUGUUGAAAAUCUUAGUCUUCCUUUGAUAAUUCAGUUUUCAGAGGCUGAAAUUGAUUCAUGUAACUCUUUUUUUUCAACUUUUUUUUUUUAUUUUUUUUAUUUUUGGGACAGAGAGAGACAGAGCAUGAAUGGGGGAGGGGCAGAGAGAGAGGGAGGCACAGAAUCGGAAACAGGCUCCAGGCUCCGAGCCAUCAGCCCAGAGCCUGACGCGGGGCUCGAACUCACGGACCGCGAGAUCGUGACCUGGCUGAAGUCGGACGCCUAACCGACUGCGCCACCCAGGCGCCCCUCAUGUAACUCUUAUUAAAUGUAACUGUGCAUAUGAUUUGGGAAUCAUGAGGGAGAUUUUUGGUCAGGUAUUCCUAGCAGCUUUGUAUUACAUCACAUAUAUCCUAGCUACUUUUAAAUCUAGUAUUGAGUUGAGGUUUGCUACCUAUUUUAACUGCAAAGGAUAAAGGUAAUUCAUUUCUCCGAUUGAAAAAUUUGGUUCCUUGGGAGCAGAAGCGUCUAGUUUCUCUCUUCUCUGUUCAGUAUGAAAAUACAAAAGCAUGUGAACUUUGGAUUAUGACAGCCCUGAGUUCUGCUGUGGUUUCUUCCUCUCAUAAGCUACAGAAUCUACAGCAAGUUAUGAACUAUUUCAGAGCAUGAAAGCAAUUACAUUAGUUGGAAAAAUGAGUGUGAUAAAUAGAAGAAAAGGUACCAGUACAAUUUCUGGAACAUAGUCAAAUUGUAUAAAUGUUAGCUUUCUUCCUUUAUGAUUCAACAUCUAAUGAUUCUGCGCCCAGUCCUGAUAUGUGAGGCUUUUCCCCCAACACCAAGCAAUUCUCUGAUACCAGCUGAGUGUCCUACAAUUUCACUCAAUUCUGACACUAUCUACCUGGAUAUUUACCUAUCAGUCCCACAAGGCUGCCCCCCGCCAACUUCAGAUGCCAAUCUCAAGCCACCUAUGCUUCUACCUAGGCUAUUAAUCAAAGGUUCCCAUGACCCCCUACUCAGGAUCACUUAAUUUGCUAGAGCAGCUCACAGAACUCAGGAAACCAGUUUAUCCCCUUAACUACAGGUUUAUUACAAAGGAUUAAAGGAUACAAAUCAACAGCCAGAAAAAAAAAAAAAAAAAAAAAAAGCAAAGGAUGCAGAGGGUAAGGUAUGGGAAAACAUGUGGAGCUUCUAUGCCGAGUGCACUAUUCUCCCCAAAUCACCACUUGUUAAGCAGCCCAGAAGCUCUAUGAAUCCCAUCCAUUGGAGUUAGUGGAGGCUUCAUUAUGUAGGCAUGAUUCAUUAAAUCACUGACUGUUGGUGACUGAUUCUACCUCACUAAAAAUGAAGGAAAGGGACUAUUCAUGGUGGUUUCCCCUGCCUGCCAGCAACCCCAACCCCACAUCUUUAGGGGAUUCUUAAAAGUCACCUCAUUAGCAAACUCAGGUAUAGUUGAAAGGUACUUACUAUGAAUAAGACAGCAUUCAUCUCACCUUUAUAGCUCUGAAGCAAUUUCAGGGACAGAGGACAAGAGACUAAAUAUGACAAAAAAAUGCUCUCAUGGCUGUUACUGCUCAGGAAAUUCCAAGGGUUUUGGGAGCUAUAGGCCAGGAACCAUGAACAAAGACCAUAAGUCACAAUGUCACUACCAUCUAAAUAGAAGCCAGCUGGCAAUUGCAAGACACUAGUAUGAAAAUAAAAGUUUGCUGAUGAAUCUUCAAUUACUGAGACCAUACUUUAUAGGAAGCAAAAUUAGCAAACAUUUUCUCCCCACACUCACACAAAAUAGGAGACAGACAGACAGUGUUCCCGCCCAGAUAGAGACAGUAUUCUGUGUACACUUAAGAAGAAUGUGAGACAAUGGUUUUAUUAUCAGGUGCUGUCCUUUUACUGGCAAUAACAUCUGAAGAACUCAAGGGCAUAUGAAAUAGACCUUAAAUGGACUUAAGGACUGGGAAAUUUUCAUAAGUGUGUUUUAUGUCUUCUCUGGAAAUCUGGGAACCAAUAAAAUCACUUUGAUCAUUCAUUAUGUUCUUUUCAAGUGAAACUAUUUAUGUUUUAAAAUUUAUAGAUAUGCAUUAUAAUUAUUAACGCAAAAGCAUAGCAUAUUUCUUGUGAAUCCAUGAAAACUAGCUAUAUAACAAGGGAAAUGGAAUUUUGAGCUAUCUUAAAGGAAGGUUACAUAAUUUGACAAAAGUUUAUGAAUUCCUUUCCCUACUAUAAAAGUAUAUAUAUCCCAAAUAAAUGACUGAAAGUAAGUGAUCUCCUUAAAGAAAUUGACUGUGAAAUAGGUUUUUAUUUCCAUACAAACUGUAAUACUGUUGUUCUGUAAUUAAAAAGAAAGCACUUAAAAGUGAGAAUAAAGAUGUAGCUUAUUAGCACCUUAUUUUGUGGAUCAGACCUGCAAAAUUAAAUCUUUCUUAGGGACAGAUUGAAGUUAGUUGUGUAUAUGGAGCGUAAAUUGAUAGUGUACAUAUUUUCCUCUACUUAAAUAGAAAUGUGUAAUUUGCACUUCAAAACCCUGUUAUAAAUUAGCUGUGUCCUAAGCAGUUAUUCGUAAGUGUUAAAUUUAUUCUCAUUAAUUAUCAAAUAGGCCCUUGGCUUAUUAUAAUGAGAUGUUCCUAUGAUCCAAAGUUGAACAAUAUAGACAGAUUUAAGAAUCUUCAAUUCUUUGGAAAAUCAGGGAUAAUAAGGGCAAUAUUUACAGAAUACUAUUUCUACUCAAACAUAUUUUGACUUACAACAAGCUUUAUCAAUGUUAACGACACAAGUGUUUCUGACUAGCAGCAAGAGCCAUUAUAGUUAUGUACAAUUAUCCAGAGGUGAAUUAAACAUCUAGAUGGAAAGAAUUAAAGGGUUAUAAGAAUAAAUAUUAUAUCAGGCAUUUAAAAAAAAAUUUAACAUUUAUUUAUUUUUGAGACACAGAGCAUGAGCAGGGGAGGGGCAGAGAGAGAGAGAGAGAGAGAGAGAGGGAGACACAGAAUUCAAAGCAGGCUCUAGGCGCUGAGCUGUUAGCAUAGAGCCCAAUGUGGGGCUGGAACCCACCAACUGUGAGAUCAUGACCUGAGCUGAAGUCGAACACUUAAAUGACUGAGCCACCCAGGUGCCCCUCUAUCAGGCAUUUUUUAGGCAUCUUUUGAUACAUUGCUAUACUUGAGUAUUUUUGUGACAAAAAAACAUAACCUGAGUAGCUUGAAUAUCUAUGUUAUCAAAGGAAAAAAUAUUCAAAGCAUGAUUUUAUAAAUAAAGCAUAUGUGUAAAUCAAAAGCAUAAAACCUCUACAUUUAAAAUUGUCUUUAAUAAAAAAAAUGAAAGUAAGCAAUUGGACAGCCAGUUAUGGGCAUUAUCAUAAGACUACCCUGGUAACCAAGUACCAAGAGGACCUUUGGCAGUAAAAAGCCUAGUGAACCAUUUGCCCCCACGAGACCAUCAUUGCUGCCACCAAUUAUUACUCAAAAAGGCAAUGGUAGAAAUAAAAGACUGAUGCUGAAUCCUAUCUGUAUUUAAACCAGACAUUUACCUAUUAUUACUUAAAGUGACUUUAAAAACAAUAUCUAGAGGUUCAAGUGUUCGGCCUUCUAAAGAAGCUUCCAACUGAGAUAGGAAGGUCUGCUGGGAUAUUGUUAUUGUUUUGGUGUUUAAGGCAGUUGACUCUUUAAGUAUCUUGAAAGUGAUACACAUUAUUGAGGGACAGAAGUUGUCCAAUUUCUGGACUAUUCUGGAUUUUAUAUUUUACGGUUGAAAUACCAAAAUUGGCUUAUCAUUAUGGGUGAAAACACACCAAAUUAGCUUUUGCUCCAAUCUCAAAACUCCCAGCUGCUGGAGAAAUGUUCUACAAUUAGGAAUAUACAUCCGAGGUUGUUGAUGGUACCUUCUGAUAAACUAUACAUGAUGGCAUAUACUCAUUUGCUGCCUAAACGCACUUUAUAAGACACUUUUAAUGAAAAUCAGGGUUGAGAAACUAUUUUUUAUGACAAGCUACAACACAGAAAAAGAAAUGCAUCCAUUCUGGACACCUGUAAGGAAUAUACAGCCUCUCUUACUAUAUGAUUCUGCUUUUAGACACAAUUCUUAAAUUGUUACUUCUCUUUUAUUUUCAAAAAUCUGUAGGAGGACUUUGAGAAAACAUCUAGAUGAUUCGAUAAAUAGGAAAUAAAUGUUGGCAUGCCGAAUUAAGUUAGUGAUCCAACUAGUAAGUGGUAACUUACAAGUUAAAGUCGUAUAAACGGAAACAAAAGGAACACUUGCCUAAAAAUUUUUAAAUGCUUGAAAAUUAUCCUGACUAUCCUGAAACCCACACAAUUUGAUAUAUUCUACAGCCAUAAUUCAAAAAGAUAGCUUUAUAUACCAUAUGGAAUUUAUAUUUAUACUGAGUUUAAGUAAGGAAUAUAUUACUUGUUAUCGGAGAAGGAUAACAAACUCACACCAGAAUUGAUGUGCAUGAAUCACGUUAGAAUAUCACUGAUGUAGAAAUUAAACAAUAUAUUCAGUCCCAGAGGUGUGAAGAACAUAGAAGAAUUUUAAAUUUGGCUAUUAAAUUCCUUCCCCAAAAGGUCUUUGCGUCAAGACACUUGUGUCCAUUACAUAUCCUCAGAGUCUCAGGUGUCAAAUCACAUUCUGUUGCAGCUGUAAAUUAACCAGACAUUAAAAAAGAAACAGUCAAAGAUCUAGAUAGGUAGUAAGGGUGAGGGAAGUUCACCUGCAGGUGGGUGGGUCCUGACAGGGGUAGGUAGUAUGCCAAAUGAUAGACAGGUCACCAGAACAAGAACAAAGCAACAAAUUAGCAGAGUCCCAGUUAUAACUGGAACCAGGUAUAGGACUUGGAAUCUAUCCCUACUUUUCUCACUUAGCAGCUAGGGUUUUAAUGUCCUAAUAAGGUCAGAGAACGCCCUUGAUUUGUUUGUUUGAUUUAAUUCUUGCAUAGUUUAGGACUAUGCCUUCAACUUAGCUAUUUGUUGAAUAAUUGAUGAUGACUAAAAUCUGUCCACAGGUCAGUGUAGUACUAAGGAGGGACUUCAGCUAUUAAGGUACCUAUUAGAAGUCUUACUUUUUAAAAAGCCUCUAAUUAAUUAUUGAUAAGUAUUGCUGACAAUUUCACUCUCAUAAGGUAGAGAAAGCAGAAAGGUUAUUUGGCCUCUUGGCUCCUCUUCCUUUGCCUUCCACAGCCCUCUCCCAUGGUCCACACACAGGCAAUUUUGUGGCUCUCGAUUUAUUUUGCACUUCUGAUAGAACCUCUAUCAGUGUAUCCUCAGUGUAACCAACUUGUCCUCAUGGACAAUGUCCUCCAACAUUUACUCACACAGAGACAAACAGCAAGAAGUCAUGCUGUAGAUGAUAAGGAGAAAGGAACAUCACUUGGACUAGAACAACUAUCUCCAAUGCUCAAAUGGAUAUUUCCGCUGGAUCUCAGCACCAUUUUCCAUUGAUUCCAUGUCCCAAAUUGGCCCUGAGUUAGGUAGAGGAAUAAAGAAUAGGAAACUGUUUAUCUCCAAAUUCCCUAAUCUAAGUACCAAGCCAAGAAAGUUAAAUGCUCAACCCAUCCAUCAUCCUUUGUUUCUUCAUCUUAAGGUACUUGAUGGUGUUGGAAGCUCAACUCAAAACAACCCACAGUGCAAAAUUGUUAGCAACCAACCCUCUCUCUCCUUGUUGAGUUACAUCUCAAGGCAACCUCCUAGCAGGUCAGCUUUCAGCCCACCUGCCCAAUCAUGCAUCUCAGUAGAGUCCUCAUCAGAGUCAACUUCAGUUAUAACCAACAAGACCAUACGAGAGACUGGAGUUUCUGACUACCUGACUUGCUGCCAUCAUGUGCCUGAAAAAAGGAAUCUGGCAUAUAAAAAAGCUGAUAUGUAGGCAAAUCUUUUUUUUUCAAGCUUCAAAUUUAUAUCAUCAGGGCCAGAAACCUGUGAUAGAGCUAGGCUUACUUUUAAAGAAGCUAAAAAUACUUGAAGACAACAGUGGUAAUUAAUUUUACACAGGAAUUUUUAAUACAUAGCUUCUUAAUAUAUCUCUUUUAAAUUUAGUAUUUGUUUAAAUAUUAUUUAUUUUAUUUAUUAUUUGUUACAAUACUCUUUUUAAUGAAGUAUGCUUUUUUAAUAAAAAGAGUGGAAAAUAUAAUAUUGACAUCAUCAAAGCUGUAGAAAAACCAUCUGUAUGUCCCACAAGCCUCCAUCAUCCAUCUGGCAGCCAUUUACCCAAACUGAAAAUCCAAAUACCAAAAAAAGUAAAUAAUAUUUGUGUUGUUCUGGACUUGCAAGCUUUCAAGCUCAAAUCUAUAAAAUAAGGAGAAACCUCCUAAUUAUUCUUAAUUUGCUCUAUGGAGUUGAAACAGAUGGAUUAUAAAGAUGAUUCCAUGAUAAACAACUAAAUGUGGUUACUACC
Molecule: long non-coding RNA, 11882 nt
Filed under: Lynx pardinus (Iberian lynx)
Lineage: Eukaryota; Metazoa; Chordata; Mammalia; Carnivora; Felidae
Source: RNAcentral